CAGGUAGCUCAGUUGGUAGAGCAGCGGACUGAAAAUCCGCGUGUCGGUGGUUCGAAUCCGCCCCUGG
Molecule: transfer RNA, 67 nt
Filed under: Bauldia litoralis
Lineage: Bacteria; Pseudomonadati; Pseudomonadota; Alphaproteobacteria; Hyphomicrobiales; Kaistiaceae
Also listed under: 8 other names
Rfam family: tRNA
About the family: Transfer RNA (tRNA) molecules are approximately 80 nucleotides in length.
Source: RNAcentral